RNAcentral lists this transfer RNA (74 nucleotides) under Lissoclinum patella. Its description in RNAcentral is "tRNA-Asp". The record is from RNAcentral. Lineage: Eukaryota; Metazoa; Chordata; Ascidiacea; Aplousobranchia; Didemnidae.
UAAACCUUGCCACAUUUAAAUAUAAAUUUAGUCUUAUUAUUUUUAUCCUUAUUAUUUGCCUUUAUCGUAAUAAA